This 440-nucleotide ribosomal RNA is filed under the name uncultured bacterium. RNAcentral's name for it is "partial 16S ribosomal RNA". It matches the Rfam family "Bacterial small subunit ribosomal RNA", at positions 338 to 795 of the family's 1533-position model. The record is from RNAcentral.
CCUACGGGUGGCAGCAGUGGGGGAUAUUGCACAAUGGGGGGAACCCUGAUGCAGCAACGCCGCGUGGGUGAAGAAGCGCCUCGGCGCGUAAAACCCUGUCAGCAGGGACGAAAAUGACGGUAGCUGAAGAAGAAGCCGCGGCUCACUACGUGCCAGCAGCCGCGGUAAUACGGAGGGGGCAAGCGUUAUCCGGCUUUACUGGGUGUAACGGGGGCGCAGGCGGCGAUGCAAGCCAGGUGUGAAAUCCCGGGGCUCAACCCCGGGACUGCACUUGAAACUGCGUGGCUUGAGUGCAGGAGGGGCAGGCGGAAUGCCGGGUGUAGCGGUGAAAUGCGUAGAUAUCAGGAGGAACACCGGUGGCGAAGGCGGCCUGCUGGACUGCAACUGACGUUGAGGCCCGAAAGCGUGGGGAGCAAACAGGAUUAGAUACCCGGGUAGUC